UCCAUCCUGCCCUCCAUCCUUUCCUCCCCCGGAGGCACCGGCUUUGUAGGCUAAUUAGCAGUGAAAUUGGUGAAUUGCAGGCUUCGGCACAGCGGCAUCAACACUUCAGCUGCCACAAGCGCCACUUUAGCCACUGAAAGGGAAGAUGAGGCCCAGUCUAGCACCUCUGUCUUAUCCCAGGCUGCAAAAAAAAACCUACAGGCGAGAGAGAAAUGAAUCCAAAAGAGAGAUUGGGGGUAAUGUCACCCUCUUCAACACCCCUCCUCCCUUACAGAGGAUGGCAGGACUCCAUUGACCACUGAAGGACCACCCUUGUGAAAAGCCCUCAACUGUUCAGAGUGGUGCUAAAAGCAUCUCCCAAAUAAAUAAAGCGAGUUUGACAAGCACCAAAUUGUGAUGGCUAGACGACUGGGUCAGAACAUCUCCAAAGCUGCAGCUCUUGUGUGGUGUUCCCAGUCUGCAGUGGUCAGUAUUUAUCAAAAGUGGUCCAAGGAAGGAACAGUAGUUAACCGGGGACAGGUCAUGGGCAGGCAAGGCUCACUGAUGCAUGUGGGGAGCGAAGGCUUUCCUGUGUGGUCCGAUCCAACAGAUGAGCUCCUGUAGCUCAAAUUGUUGAAGAAGUUAAUGCUGUUAAUGGUCGCUGGUUCAGAACUGUUUUGGCAGCAAAAGGGGGACCAACACAAUAUAAGCCAGGUGGUUUAUAUUAAUAGGUGGCCAUAAAGUUAUACC
Silurus meridionalis is the source of this 729-nucleotide long non-coding RNA. RefSeq lists it as uncharacterized. The transcript is spliced from 3 exons. The record is from RefSeq and is a predicted model, not a curated record. NCBI's taxonomy places the organism in Eukaryota, Metazoa, Chordata, Actinopteri, Siluriformes, Siluridae.